CCUACGGGGGGCUGCAGUGGGGAAUAUUGGACAAUGGGGGGAACCCUGAUCCAGCCAUGCCGCGUGUGUGAAGAAGGCCCUCGGGUUGUAAAGCACUUUCAGUGAGGAAGAACGCCUGGUGGUUAAUACCCAUCAGGAAAGACAUCACUCACAGAAGAAGCACCGGCUAACUCCGUGCCAGCAGCCGCGGUAAUACGGAGGGUGCGAGCGUUAAUCGGAAUUACUGGGCGUAAAGCGCGCGUAGGUGGCUUGAUAAGCCGGUUGUGAAAGCCCCGGGCUCAACCUGGGAACGGCAUCCGGAACUGUCAAGCUAGAGUGCAGGAGAGGAAGGUAGAAUUCCCGGUGUAGCGAUGAAAUGCGUAGAGAUCGGGAGGAAUACCAGUGGCGAAGGCGGCCUUCUGGACUGACACUGACACUGAGGUGCGAAAGCGUGGGUAGCAAACAGGAUUAGAUACCCCGGUAGUC
This 465-nucleotide ribosomal RNA is filed under the name Vreelandella stevensii. Its description in RNAcentral is "partial 16S ribosomal RNA". It matches the Rfam family "Bacterial small subunit ribosomal RNA", at positions 338 to 795 of the family's 1533-position model. The record is from RNAcentral. Lineage: Bacteria; Pseudomonadati; Pseudomonadota; Gammaproteobacteria; Oceanospirillales; Halomonadaceae.